Molecule: ribosomal RNA, 1196 nt
Filed under: human gut metagenome
Description: bacterial LSU rRNA
Rfam family: Bacterial large subunit ribosomal RNA
Source: RNAcentral
CCCCCCCUCCAGGUCUAACUUCGGGAUAAAGGGUCCCAACGAGAGUUGGGCGCAGAGAAUAGGUCCAGGCAACUGUUUAACAAAAACACAGGGCUGUGCAAAAUUGAAAGAUGAAGUAUACAGCCUGACACCUGCCCGGUGCUGGAAGGUUAAGAGGAGAUGUCAUCGCAAGAGAAGCAUUGAAUUGAAGCCCCAGUAAACGGCGGCCGUAACUAUAACGGUCCUAAGGUAGCGAAAUUCCUUGUCGGGUAAGUUCCGACCCGCACGAAAGGCGUAAUGAUUUGAGCGCUGUCUCGACAAUGCAUCCGGUGAAAUUGAAGUACCAGUGAAGAUGCUGGUUACCUGCGCCAGGACGGAAAGACCCCAUGGAGCUUUACUCCAGUCUGGUACUGGGACUCGGUAUUGCAUGUACAGGAUAGGUGGGAGGCUAGGAGAUGGUAACGCCAGUUGCCAUGGAGCCGCUGUUGGGAUACCACCCUUGCAGUAUUGGGUUUCUAACCAGCCGCCGUGACCCGGCGGUGGGACAAUGCCAGACGGGGAGUUUGACUGGGGCGGUCGCCUCCGAAAGGGUAUCGGAGGCGCCCAAAGGUUCCCUCAGAAUGGACGGAAACCAUUCGAAGAGUGCAAAGGCAGAAGGGAGCUUGACUGCGACACCGACGGGUGGAGCAGGUACGAAAGUAGGGCUUAGUGAUCCGGUGGUAUUAAGUGGGAAUGCCAUCGCUCAACGGAUAAAAGCUACCCUGGGGAUAACAGGCUUAUCACUCCCAAGAGUUCACAUCGACGGAGUGGUUUGGCACCUCGAUGUCGGCUCAUCGCAUCCUGGGGCUGUAGUAGGUCCCAAGGGUUGGGCUGUUCGCCCAUUAAAGCGGUACGCGAGCUGGGUUCAGAACGUCGUGAGACAGUUCGGUCCCUAUCCGGCGUGGGCGUAGGAUAUCUGAGAGGAGCUGUCCUUAGUACGAGAGGACCGGGAUGGACGGGCCGCUGGUGCAUCGGUUAGACUGCCAAGUCUACGGCCGAGUAGCCAAGCCCGGAAGGGAUAAACGCUGAAGGCAUCUAAGCGUGAAGCCCCCCUUAAGAUGAGAUAUCCCAUUCGAAAGAAGUAAACCCCCUUGAAGACGACGAGGUAGAUAGGGCAGAGGUGGAAGUGCAGCAAUGCAUGGAGCUGACUGUUACUAAUCGGGUGAGGGCUUGACCAA